AUGUGGCAGCCCCUGGAGCUGCACAUGCAGCUGUGGGGUCCUCCAACCUAUCCCUGUGUUGGCUGCAGGCUGAGGGAGGCAAGGACUGGGCACAAGUGCACAAGGCCAGGUGGGCUUUCUAUGGCAUUAUCGGUUUUUGUACCGCUAACCUUGAGGUACUUAUGCUUUAGCUCCUUAAAGGCUACAGCAGGAACCGCCCUCCUCACUUUCUCUGGCUUUCUUCCUCCAUCUUCCUCUUGGACUCCUGGAGUGCCUGUGACUCCUCGGGGCUUCAGUUUCCCGGUCUGGAGUCAGGCUAGAGGGUCCCAGGCACCCCUGACUUCUCGGCCCCAGUUUCCUGUUGCAAAGGAUCGUUUCCCCUUAGCCCCAGGGGAUGCCAAUGGGCUUGCCUCUACUCCCAGAAGAGGUAAACAGAUGACUCAGCCACUCUGUGGACAAAUCUACCUGGCGUCGUGGGUCUCCUGGGCCUUCCACCCGCAGGCUCCCAGAAGAUGCCCUUCUGCAAAGACUCUCAGCUGAGCCCAAACCUGGAAGCUGUCCCCCUGGCCUCAAGUUUUAUGGGCAAGGCUCACCUUCUGGGUUACAGGGGCCUGAGUAGCUUUUUUGGGAAACUUCUCUACAGAGUCACAGACUAAAAAUCCCAUUUCAGGAAUUGUUUCUCUGACACUUUUCAAACAGAGAUCCUAUCCCUUUUAUAAGAUGAUGGUAGAUUUAAGGAAAAUAAACACCCCUUUAAAAAGAAGAAUUUAUUUGGAUCUACUGUCCCUGAGACCCAGAAUGGCUCUUAAUUUUAGGAGGCAUGCAACUUUAAUUACCUCUGAGUAUGCAGCAAGAGGUGGCCCACAGAACUGGGUGUGACAGCCAGGUACAUUCGAGGAAGCGAGAUGUCUCAAGCAGCUGCUGACGCUGCUCUGCCUGUGAAAAACGUAGGCUCCAAUUCAAAGGUAUCAAAUAUUUGCCUAGCUGUUCAACAUUUCUUCAAAUAAUAUACUCACUACUAAUUCAUAUCUAGACUCGACGUCUUCAUCUCUCUCAGGCCUCCCUCCUGGAUUAGCUGUCUUGUC
Molecule: long non-coding RNA, 1064 nt
Filed under: Ictidomys tridecemlineatus (thirteen-lined ground squirrel)
Lineage: Eukaryota; Metazoa; Chordata; Mammalia; Rodentia; Sciuridae
Description: lncRNA (ENSSTOG00000030981.1)
Source: RNAcentral